AAUACAGCCUCUGCAUGACUAUGCAGUCGCACAGAAUUCUUAAAAGGAAACUGCUUGCAAGAUCAGGGCCUUUCCAGCAAUGUGAAAUUAAGAUGUUAGUAGGGGCUCAAAGAAAAGAGAUGACAUUUCUGUUGAGGGGAUUUGUACGCACAUGAUGCAGGUAAAGGAGUUACAGAACUUUAACUGCUGACAUACCCAGACUCAGAUCUGUGGUUCAGGCACAGAAUCCCUGCUUCUAGGGAUUUGGUGGAGGGAUGUGAAAACUGAGCAGUAGCAUCUGAGAUGUGAUUCAUAGGGGAUGCUGUAAAACGGUGCAUACUGCAGGAAUCUGAGAUGUUGGAGUGAGCCAGCCCUGGAUCUGCAAAGUAAUAAAGUUACUUAUACUGCUCCUUCUUCCAAUUUCUCCAGAUCUUUUAACAGUGAAGACACCAGAAUUAAAGAGCAUGGCAUUAAAGCUAUUUUUAGUCCUGAUGUUAUGUUCUUGCACAGCUUGCAAGCUUACAAUAUACCUGAAGAGUACUAGAUCUUAUGCACAGAGCAUGAUGUAAGAAAUUUGUUUCGGGUUGCUUCUUCACUGUGCAGCCUAGCUUCUUUCAGAGCUGCCUUUGCAUGUCUACCUGUAGACGUGAGCUCAUAUUUGACUAUCUGAAUGGUCCUAUUUAGAAGGUGUACAUCACAGCACAUCCAAGACAUCCCUAACUGACCACAGCUCAUCCAUCAGCUCUUGAGUCUGUCAACUGCUCUGAGUUUUAAGGCAAAGUGUCGCUGUUUUCAGCACACACAGUGGUGACGGCAUUCAGCAGGCCAACCUGUCUGUUUCUGAGCACUCGGUCCUCAACAGCAUUUGUAACUCUUUCAGGCUCUCUGUGCCACAGUUUCUAUUCAAACAGAUUUUGCAUUGAAUUUCUAAUCAUUAUAACAAACCCUAAAUAGCAGCAGUCCUACUUUUGGUUUCUGUGUGGUUAUCUACAAUUAUCUCCUCUGACUGAUGAUUCCAUUGGUGCCUGUCUCCACACAUCAGUCCCAUGCAGUGUGAGUCUUCUUGACAGACUACACGGCCAAGCAUCCAGAAAAGUAUCUGAGAACAAUGCAAAUAUAUUAUACCUGCACCAUCAUCUUCAUGAGCAACUUUCUAAUUUAACAAGAAAUAAAAUACACUUGACAAGUUCUUUUUCUAUAAAGUCACAUCAGCUGCUACUGCUGUACUCCUAUCUCAUAACUCGUUAUGUCCUGUACCAGCAUUUGUCAUCAGUUUUAUUUAUGACAGGUAAAUCGGUUAUUAUCUGUGUCUUCAGUUGUCCAAGUUGAAUACUUAUAGUCAGUUUUCAUGACUUCCUGGGAGACCAUAUGCAAGCUCCUUUAAUACUCUCAAAUUGAAGUUCUUUGGGACUCACAUACUUUAGAAUGUUUCUCUUUAAGUAAUGUUGUUCAGUGCUCAUACUAAUAACGCCAAGGAGGGUACUCAGUCAUUUUGAUAUGCUGUAAGUCCAUCAUAUGUUUUUUCAGUGAUAGGAUAAAACUGGUAUCUGUAUCUAUUUAGAUAUAUUGGCCUGCAAUACUGUUAAAAUUUAGAAAACUAGAGUUAUUCCUAAAAUUACUAAGCACACUUGUUCUCACCUAUUUUUCCAUGCUCAUAACUGUUCUUAUAAUGAUUGCUGUCUCUUCUACUUGUACAUCUUUACUUCUUCUCUCUACAUAAAUUAAAAUGUACUUAUUUA
Molecule: long non-coding RNA, 1718 nt
Organism: Gallus gallus (chicken)
Lineage: Eukaryota; Metazoa; Chordata; Aves; Galliformes; Phasianidae
Source: Ensembl